This 108-nucleotide small RNA is filed under the name Marmota monax (woodchuck). Lineage: Eukaryota; Metazoa; Chordata; Mammalia; Rodentia; Sciuridae. The record is from RNAcentral.
GCCGGGCAUGGUGGCACAUGCCUAUAAUCCCAGUGGCCAGGAGGCUGAGACAGGAGGAUCAUGAGUUCAACCAGCCUCAGCAAGGGGCACUAAAAAACUCUGCCUCUA